UACGGGGGGGGCAAGCGUUGUUCGGAAUUACUGGGCGUAAAGGGCUCGUAGGUGGCCAACUAAGUCAGACGUGAAAUCCCUCGGCUUAACCGGGGAACUGCGUCUGAUACUGGAUGGCUUGAGAUUGGGAGAGGGAUGCGGAAUUCCAGGUGUAGCGGUGAAAUGCGUAGAUAUCGAGAGGAACACCUGCGGCGAAGGCGGGUAGCUGGGCCGACACUGACGCUGAGGCGCGAAAGCCAGGGGAGCGAACGGG
Molecule: ribosomal RNA, 253 nt
Filed under: uncultured bacterium
Lineage: Bacteria
Description: partial 16S ribosomal RNA
Rfam family: Bacterial small subunit ribosomal RNA
Source: RNAcentral